RNAcentral lists this ribosomal RNA (386 nucleotides) under Prasinoderma sp. RNAcentral's name for it is "partial small subunit ribosomal RNA". It matches the Rfam family "Eukaryotic small subunit ribosomal RNA", at positions 582 to 975 of the family's 1831-position model. Lineage: Eukaryota; Viridiplantae; Prasinodermophyta; Prasinodermophyceae; Prasinodermales; Prasinodermaceae. The record is from RNAcentral.
AUUCCAGCUCCAAUAGCGUAUAUUUAAGUUGUUGCAGUUAAAAAGCUCGUAGUUGGAUUUUGGGUCGGGGGUACCGGUCCGGUGUUUCACUGUGCACUGGUCUCCCCUUCCUUUCUGCCGGGGACGGCGUUUGCUCUUUACUGAGCGGCGUCGGAGUCGGCGUUGUUACUUUGAAAAAAUUAGAGUGUUCAAAGCAAGCCAUCGCUCUGAAUACAUUAGCAUGGAAUAACAUGAUAGGACUCUGGUCUUAUUUUGUUGGUUUCCGAGACUGAGUAAUGAUUAAGAGGGACAGUCGGGGGCAUCCGUAUUUCAUUGUCAGAGGUGAAAUUCUUGGAUUUAUGAAAGACGAGCUUCUGCGAAAGCAUUUGCCAAGGAUGUUUUCAUCG